RNAcentral lists this transfer RNA (56 nucleotides) under Chamaeleo monachus (monarch chameleon). RNAcentral describes it as "tRNA-Cys". Lineage: Eukaryota; Metazoa; Chordata; Lepidosauria; Squamata; Chamaeleonidae. The record is from RNAcentral.
AGCCCAGAAAUAGUCCGGAGUGCAAAUUCGGAUAUGGUUUAAUAGACCCUGGACUU